GGUCCGAAGUCUCUACGACGAAGCGUUCUUGAGAUAUUUCACUUUGAAAUUGCAAAAACGGGGGCCGCGCCCUGACGUCAUGCGGCCAUUUGGUUACAUCAUCACGGGCUGCCUACGUCAUUGUGGCAAAGUCGUUUCUCUUCGCCAGUCUACAAGCACUAAUUUUAGUUGGUAUUUCAAGGGAAGAUGGGCGAUUCCGAACAAUCCUCUGUCCCCAGCAAUGAAGGCAGCGAUGCUGAGGCCAGUGAGGACGACCAACAGCCCACCGCCGCGUAUGGUUGGGGCAGGGAGCCCAGAUACUCUGCUGAGGAGCUGCCAUCGCGUGUAACAAAUGUGGAGGAAGAAGAUGCGUCAGCAGCUGCGUCCGACAGAAGACGAGUAGCUUGGCCACCAGAAUCUCGAUUCGUUUGGGACUCCGACUGGUGCGAGCGUGGACAAAAGUGUAUAGCCAUGCCCAGCCCGCGGGAAUGAUUUUGCUGGUAGGAUGCUGCCGUCGCUGUCGACAAGACGGCCCAAGGUUUCUUGCGUAGCGGACCUCGCAGAUUACGAGAUCGUAUCCUUGCAUUAGGCUGUGCUCAUCACUGCUCUUCGAGGUUAUCUCGACAUGCAGAAGCCGCCAAUGCCAGUGACAGAAGAGUCUGACAUUAGAUCUCUACGCUAUGCGGCACACAGGCAGUACACACUAUGUACACGGCAAAUUGGGCAAGCACGUUCGUUGUCGUCUUCCAGCCUGCGUUGUGAAUACCAUCAGGCAAAGAUAUCCAAAUCCUGCACCACCUCAGCCUUCUCAGGAGGCUUCCACCUGGAAUUUGGCAGGGAAACACGCUUCUCCAAGGCAGGAACAUGGAGGUUGCCAUUUGCAACCGCUACCACCUCACACAUGAGCUUGUCAACAUACUCAUAGCUCUUUCUGUCGUAUAAUUUUCUAUUUGGCCACAGUCUUCUUUAUGCUUUGAGAACUGGACUUUAUACCUUCC
Molecule: long non-coding RNA, 977 nt
Organism: Sycon ciliatum
Lineage: Eukaryota; Metazoa; Porifera; Calcarea; Leucosolenida; Sycettidae
Exons: 2
Source: RefSeq, a predicted model, not a curated record